UAUGAAGGUGGCUAGCGUGGUUCGGAAUUACUGGGCGGAGAGCGCACGUAGGCGGACCAGUCAGUCAGAGGUGAAGUCCCAGGGCUCAACCCUGGAACUGCCUUUGAUACUGCUGGUCUAGAGAUCGAGUGAGGUGAGUGGAAUUCCGAGUGUAGAGGUGAAAUUCGUAGAUAUUCGGAGGAACACCAGUGGCGAAGGCGGCUCACUGGCUCGAUACUGACGCUGAGGUGCGAAAGCGUGGGGAGCAAACAGG
This 253-nucleotide unclassified non-coding RNA is filed under the name uncultured Rhodobacterales bacterium. Its description in RNAcentral is "contains 16S-23S intergenic spacer region". It matches the Rfam family "Bacterial small subunit ribosomal RNA", at positions 524 to 776 of the family's 1533-position model. The record is from RNAcentral. Lineage: Bacteria; Pseudomonadati; Pseudomonadota; Alphaproteobacteria; Rhodobacterales.